CCUACGGGAGGCAGCAGUGGGGAAUUUUCCGCAAUGGGCGAAAGCCUGACGGAGCAACGCCGCGUGAGGGAUGAAGGCCUCUGGGCUGUAAACCUCUUUUAUCAAGGAAGAAGAUCUGACGGUACUUGA
Molecule: ribosomal RNA, 129 nt
Filed under: uncultured bacterium
Lineage: Bacteria
Description: partial 16S ribosomal RNA
Rfam family: Bacterial small subunit ribosomal RNA
Source: RNAcentral